AGAGCCCGGGAGUGCGGCUGCGGCGGGGCGGGCGCGCCGGGGGAGGGGACAGAACUCGGCCCCCGCCGGGGUCUCCAGGCAACGCCGCCCGCCCGCUCGCGGACGUCAGGCGCCUUCCCGGCCUCCCAUUGGCCGCCGCCAAUUUUUUUCCUCCGGGGGAGGGUGCUGGAGGCCUCCGGGCGGGGCCGGCGGCCCGGGCGGCCGGUGUGGCGUGUAGCUCUCGGCCCCAGUGGAUGCCGCCGGGUGGCGGCGGGAAGGCACGGCUGUUCUCCUCCGGGGCUGCGCGGUCGGAGAGCCCCGAUCAGUAGGAUGAAAAAUGAAUGCGGAUGAAGCUACUACCCUUCCAAAGCUAUGAUUCUCAAGAUAACUAUUAGUGGGUAACACUUAUUCUGAAAUUAUAAAUGAAAAAUGGUGAGCCAGUGAAAAACUGGACCAGCAGCAAAACGUUUGCAAGAGCGCCACCUGCUGGAUGUGUGAGGAAGAGGGCUGGGCUGGGCUUGAAAAGGAAGAAAAUCAUUAAGGUUUCUAGAUUAAAAUCACUGCAAAGGAUGUGAGAGAGAGAGAGAGAGAGUGAGAGUGUGUGUGUGUGUGUGUGUUUGAGUGUUUGAGACGAGUCUCACUCUGUCGCCCAGGCUGGAGUGCAGUGGUGCGAUCUCGGCUCACUGCAACCUCCGCUUCCCGGGUUCAAGCAAUUCUCUGCCUCAGCCUCCCGAGUGGCUGGGAUUACAGGCGCCCACCACCACGCCCAGCUAAUUUUUUUUGCAUUUUUUGUAGAGACGGGGGUUUCACCAUCUUGACCAGGCUGGUCUUGAACUCCUGACCUUGUGAUCCACCCGCCUCAGCCUCCCAACAUGCUGGGAUUACAGGUGUGAAACACCGCGCCCAGCUGAUAAAUGUGUUUAAUGGCAUUUUAAGUGAGACACUUGUUACUGCCACCAAGCGAUAGGUAAACAAUGUAGGCACAGAAUAAGUCAUUUUCUCUGACUCUCCUUUCCCCAGGUUCCUCCUCACAGCUAAGAGGACGGAUAUACUUUCACUGGGUGGCAAAAUCAGGUUUCCUAGCAUUAGCAUACUUUUUGGGGGGUAGGGGAAAUGCUCAAUGGCUCUUUGAAUAAUUAGGAUGGAAUGUGUAGGUCACUGCAGGACUUAACACAUGCAGACAAUAAAAAUAAAUUAUUUGUGCAAAGUUGAUCCUGAAUUCUCCCAGGAUCCAACAUUUGGAACAUAUUUCUGCUUUGCUAAAAUGGAACAAAAUUCACAAAUCUGACCAAAUGGGCUGUUUGCCAACUAAUCCAGCCCCUACAUAAAGCCAGAAAAGGGGAGAGGGGAGGGAUCAUGUGUAUGUGCUAAAAUCCAACUCUCUGUAGUCAUUUCACAGAGAAUGCAGGGCGGCUAUGGCAGGGCAUUAGAGGCCCUGGGGGAUGAAAAAGGCUCAUUCAGGCCUGCAGGUGGCCUGCACCUGGGGACAGAGUAAAUCUGCAACGGAGUCGCCUCACUUCCUACAGUAGCAGCAAUAAAAUAGGCUGCCCUGAAUGAGUGAACUGAAGAAAAGUUUCUCUGUAAGGAGUGACAGACGACUGGACUCACAGAAGUAGGGGAGGCAUGAAUGGGAUAAAAUUUUUGAAUUUAUGUUCAACAUGUUUCCUGCAGAUUUAGUGGAGGAAAAAUCCACACAUACCCCCAUCCCAAUCCCCCAG
RNAcentral lists this long non-coding RNA (1697 nucleotides) under Homo sapiens (human). RNAcentral's name for it is "HSALNT0030850". The record is from RNAcentral. Lineage: Eukaryota; Metazoa; Chordata; Mammalia; Primates; Hominidae.